Oncorhynchus masou masou (cherry salmon) is the source of this 1823-nucleotide long non-coding RNA. RefSeq lists it as uncharacterized. The record is from RefSeq and is a predicted model, not a curated record. The transcript is spliced from 8 exons. NCBI's taxonomy places the organism in Eukaryota, Metazoa, Chordata, Actinopteri, Salmoniformes, Salmonidae.
UCUCUGGAUUCCAGAAGGCAUGAGGACCCAGAUGCUAUACAGUGGGAAAACCAGCCUGGCAACAUAAGCUCACAAGCUAUCAGAAAGUUGUAUGGCAACCACCUCCGGCGCCAAAUAGAACUGGCAGACAUAGACAUUCAGUACAAGAAGAAAAAGAUGGAAAAUCUUGCACUGGAGUCCGAAAUAAUAAAAAAGAGGACAAUUGGAAAACUGGACCUUGAAAUAAAAAAACUUGAGAGGGAGCUCCAAGAAGAUGACACAGCUCAAAAUAAAAAUUAGCAAUCAGUACAACCAAGUCAUCGUUAUAAGGCAUCGCCCUCUUUUGCCCACCCCCCCAGCACCAGGUGUGGCCACUAGCCUAUAUGAAGGCCCAAAAUUGUGUGUUCCUUUCUGCUCUGACAAUGGCAUGCCCAUUCGUGCGAGAUGUGGUGGAUGAAGAAGCACUUGUGCUGAGGAGAGCCUUCAGGCGAGAAAGGGUCUUCAGGGACCGGUUGGACCCACUGGCCUUCCCUGAUGACCAUCUAUAUGAAAGAUACAGGUUUUCUGCAGAUGGCAUCAGGUAUCUAUGCAGACUACUGGGUCCCAGGAUUAAGCACCGCACUGCACGGAGCCAUGCACUGAGUGUGGAGCAAAUGGUUUGUGUGGCCUUGCGCUUUUUUGCUAGUGGAGCCUUCCUGUACUCAGUGGGGGAUGCAGAACAGCUGAACAAGGCCACAAUUUGCCGCACAAUAAGGAGUGUGUGUCUGGCUAUCAAAGCAUUAGCAGAUGUCUUCAUCUCCUUCCCUGGCCACAGAAGACUCUGUGACAUCAAAGAGGAGUUCUAUAGGAUUGCAGGUUUCCCCAAUGUCAUUGGUGCAGUGGACUGCACACACAUAAGGAUAAAAGCCCCUCAGGUGCCCAUGAGGCCGAUUUUGUGAAUAGGAAAUCCUUUCACAGCAUUAAUGUUCAGAUGGUCUGCAAUGCUGACUGUGUGAUCAGCAAUGUUGUGGCAAAAUGGCCUGGCUCAGUCCAUGACUCCAGAAUCUUUCGGGCCUCUGAAAUCUAUCACAAGGUGAAUUCUCUGGUGUGUUGCUGGGAGACAGGGGGUAUGGCUGCCAGCCUUUUCUCCUGACACCUUUCACAGACCCCCAGGAAGCACAGCAGGCCUACAACCAUGCCCAUGCCAGGACCAGGGCCAGAGUUGAAAUGACCUUUGGCCUCCUGAAGGCACGCCUUCACUGCCUUCACAAACUAAGGGUCAGCCCUGUUAGGGCAUGUGAUAUUACUGUGGCUUGUGCUGUCCUCCACAAUGUGGCCUGCCUGAGGAAGGAGAGGGCCCCAGAGUGCCACCAGCCAUGGACUGGGACAAUCCGGCAAUCUUCCCUGAUGACGACAGUGGUCGGCUGCUGAGGGACCAAUAUGUGUUGAAUUAUUUUAGUUAGUAUGUGUGCUUUCAAUUUUGGUUAAAUAUGUCCUGCGGUGGCAGAGGAAUUUGGGUUUUUUUGGGUUCGUUUUUUGACGAAUUUGGCCUCUUAUGAUGUUUGUGCGGUAUACUGUGUGUAAUACAAGGCUGCAGGGAGGCUACUGCAUCCAUUCAUUUGCCUGUUCAGUUGAUGUGUAUGGAUUUGUCCUGCAUUUAUUUUAGUGUGCAGACAUGCAGGGUGUGUUACAUACACAUUCAAAGGUCUGUAUAUAUCAUUUUGUAUAAUAUGCUUGGAUUCUGUGCUUUCCAUCUUGUAGAGUCACUGUGACUUCAGUUUUGAAAGGAGCUGAUGGUUUACCUGCUUUGUUUUGUCCUUAUUCAAUAAAGGAACAUAAUGUUACACAUUGUGUUUUUAUAUUCA